ACCGGCGCACGGGUGAGUAACGCGUAUGUAACCUGCCUGAAACAGGGGGAUAGCUCCCGGAAACGGGGAUUAAGACCGCAUAAGACCACGGGUUCGCAUGGACAAGUGGUAAAAUAUUUAUAGGUUUCAGAUGGGCAUGCGUGACAUUAGCUAGUUGGUGAGGUAACGGCUCACCAAGGCGACGAUGUCUAGGGGUUCUGAGAGGAAGGUCCCCCACACUGGUACUGAGACACGGACCAGACUCCUACGGGAGACAGCAGUGAGGAAUAUUGGUCAAUGGGCGAGAGCCUGAACCAGCCAUGUCGCGUGCAGGAAGACGGCCCUAUGGGUUGUAAACUGCUUUUGUACGGGAAGAAAAAAGAUUACGUGUAAUCUAUCGACGGUACCGUACGAAUAAGGAUCGGCUAACUCCGUGCCAGCAGCCGCGGUAAUACGGAGGAUCCGAGCGUUAUCCGGAUUUAUUGGGUUUAAAGGGUGCGCAGGCGGGCUUAUAAGUCAGUGGUGAAAUCUUGCCGCUUAACGGUAAAAUUGCCAUUGAUACUGUAGGUCUUGAGUUCAGUUGAGGUAGGUGGAAUGUGGUGUGUAGCGGUGAAAUGCAUAGAUAUACCACAGAACACCGAUUGCGAAGGCAGCUUACUAAACUGAAACUGACGCUGAGGCACGAAAGCGUGGGGAUCAAACAGGAUUAGAUACCCUGGUAGUCCACGCU
This 709-nucleotide ribosomal RNA is filed under the name uncultured bacterium. RNAcentral's name for it is "bacterial SSU rRNA". It matches the Rfam family "Bacterial small subunit ribosomal RNA", at positions 94 to 801 of the family's 1533-position model. The record is from RNAcentral.